AAGACUAUACUUUCAGGGAUCAUUUCUAUAGUUUGUUACUCUUAGCCAUUUUAAUGGUUUAAGACGACCUUUUUGAGGUGUAAAAUGAACUUCAUAGGAUCUUGUGGGAAAAGUUGAGUAUUAACACUGAUGCUUAGAAACAGUGCAUGGAAGACAGUAGGUGUCCUAGGAACAUGACUUCAUUGAUUAUGAACUUUGAUGCUAU
Small nucleolar RNA from Onychomys torridus (southern grasshopper mouse), 205 nucleotides. RefSeq annotates it as small nucleolar RNA U3. The transcript has a single exon. The record is from RefSeq and is a predicted model, not a curated record. Lineage: Eukaryota; Metazoa; Chordata; Mammalia; Rodentia; Cricetidae.